AUACGGAGGUUGCAAGCGUUGUUCGGAAUUAUUGGGCGUAAAGCGCGUGUAGGUGGUCUGUUAAGUCUGGUGUGAAAGCCCUGGGCUCAACCCAGGAAGUGCAUUGGAUACUGGCAGACUUGAGUAUGGGAGAGGAAAGCGGAAUUCCGAGUGUAGGAGUGAAAUCCGUAGAUAUUCGGAGGAACACCAGUGGCGAAGGCGGCUUUCUGGACCAAUACUGACGCUGAGACGCGAAAGCGUGGGGAGCAAACAGGAUUAGAAACCCUAGUAGUCC
This 274-nucleotide ribosomal RNA is filed under the name uncultured bacterium. RNAcentral describes it as "partial 16S ribosomal RNA". It matches the Rfam family "Bacterial small subunit ribosomal RNA", at positions 523 to 796 of the family's 1533-position model. The record is from RNAcentral.